RNAcentral lists this ribosomal RNA (408 nucleotides) under uncultured bacterium. RNAcentral describes it as "partial 16S ribosomal RNA". It matches the Rfam family "Bacterial small subunit ribosomal RNA", at positions 28 to 526 of the family's 1533-position model. The record is from RNAcentral.
GACGAACGCUGGCGGCGUGCCUAACACAUGCAAGUCGAACGAAGUGGCGAACGGGUGAGUAACGCGGAAUCAACCUGCCCUUCUGAGGGGGACAACAGUUGGAAACGACUGCUAAUACCGCAUUCUGAAGGUGGGGAUUGCGUUGGAUUGGCUGGUUGGAGGGGUAACGGCCCACCAAGGCGAUGAUCAGUAGCCGGUCGGAGAGGAUGAACGGCCACACUGGGACUGAGACACGGCCCAGACUCCUACGGGAGGCAGCAGUGGGGAAUCUUCGGCAAUGGACGAAAGUCUGACCGAGCAACGCCGCGUGAGUGAAGAAGGUUUUCGGAUCGUAAAACUCUGUUGUUAGAGAAGCGGUAUCUAACCAGAAAGCCACGGCUAACUACGUGCCAGCAGCCGCGGUAAUUC